CACAUGCAAGUCGAACGGUGAAGGAGAGCUUGCUCUCCGGAUCAGUGGCGAACGGGUGAGUAACACGUGAGCAAUCUGCCCCUGACUCUGGGAUAAGCGCUGGAAACGGCGUCUAAUACCGGAUACGAGCUGCGAAGGCAUCUUCAGCAGCUGGAAAGAAUUUCGGUCAGGGAUGAGCUCGCGGCCUAUCAGCUAGUUGGUGAGGUAACGGCUCACCAAGGCGUCGACGGGUAGCCGGCCUGAGAGGGUGACCGGCCACACUGGGACUGAGACACGGCCCAGACUCCUACGGGAGGCAGCAGUGGGGAAUAUUGCACAAUGGGCGCAAGCCUGAUGCAGCAACGCCGCGUGAGGGACGACGGCCUUCGGGUUGUAAACCUCUUUUAGCAGGGAAGAAGCGAAAGUGACGGUACCUGCAGAAAAAGCGCCGGCUAACUACGUGCCAGC
This 447-nucleotide ribosomal RNA is filed under the name Microbacterium sp. RNAcentral's name for it is "bacterial SSU rRNA". It matches the Rfam family "Bacterial small subunit ribosomal RNA", at positions 52 to 512 of the family's 1533-position model. The record is from RNAcentral. Lineage: Bacteria; Bacillati; Actinomycetota; Actinomycetes; Micrococcales; Microbacteriaceae.